CCUGUGUUUUAGUUCUGAUUCCCUUUCAGUCAUUCGGAGAAAAGUCUCCAACGGAACAAGUACUCGUCUCAGGCAUUCUGGGGGUGCCCGUGGGGCCCCCCCUGAGUUCCUGCCCCCCCCUGAGUCCACGCCCAUCAUCCAGACCACUGUUGAGUCCUCCUCCCCCACUACCAUCAGAUUCGAAGGGAACCCCCAUAGCUGCGCAGUCCGAGAAAAAGGUCUACCACUUCGCAAUUCUCAAAUAACGCGAAUUGAUGAUCUGGUAUUGCUCGCAUGUCCAGGUCCUCGGCAGUCAGAUCGCUACUGCUACUUCGAAGCCAUACCGCCGGUCUUCAAGCAAGGUCACAGCAUAGGGUGGGUGCGUAUCGAGUGUCCACUUCUUCGCACAACAACAGUCUAGGUGAAAAUGUGUACGGGUUUUUGGAUGUUGAUGUGCAUUGAAGUCUAGCAUUGGAAUUAUGCUAUGCAUGCGCUAUAGAGACAAUAUUUACGAGAAGUGAUGUAAACCGCUUGGCAAUAACGUCCCUGCCAUCAUAUUGUAUGCCUGAGAAGGGAAGAUGAUAUCCACCCACUUUACUAUACAAUUGCAAGACGCCACGAAUUAAUAUUUUUUUAAGAAUGGUAUGGAUUGUAUCCCCGUUUGCUCUAAUCUGUCUAAGGGUCUGUUUCAUAUACAUGUGUAUUCAGCAUUAACA
RNAcentral lists this small RNA (695 nucleotides) under Drosophila ananassae. RNAcentral's name for it is "GF27846". Lineage: Eukaryota; Metazoa; Arthropoda; Insecta; Diptera; Drosophilidae. The record is from RNAcentral.